Molecule: non-coding RNA, 1359 nt
Organism: Elaeis guineensis (African oil palm)
Lineage: Eukaryota; Viridiplantae; Streptophyta; Magnoliopsida; Arecales; Arecaceae
Source: RefSeq, a predicted model, not a curated record
UCUACCGUUUGCCGCGUCAAACGAUCGGGAGUGGAAUUAAAAAGAAAAAGGAAAGCGCUUCAAAGCCGAACAUUCUCGAACUCCCGCCAACAUCAUCGCCUCCACCGCCUUUGCUCUUUACGACCGGACUCCCCUCUCGUUGCUCGUGUGGCUCCCAGCCAUUUCGAUGUCAAAGAAAAGAGGCCUCUCUUUGGAGGAGAAACGUGAGCAGAUUCUUCAAAUCUUUUAUGAGUCCCAGGACUUCUUUCUUCUUAAAGAGCUUGAGAAAUUGGGUCCUAAGAAGGGUGUGAUCAGCCAGUCUGUGAAGGAUGUUGUCCAAAGUCUAGUGGAUGAUGACCUGGUUCUGAAGGAUAAAAUAGGCACUUCUGUAUACUUUUGGAGCCUUCCUAGUUGUGCUGGAAAUCAGCUAAGGAAUACUUACAGCAAACUGGAAUCUGAUCUUUCAAGCUGUAGGAAGCGUUUUGCUGAACUUGUUGAACAGAGGGACAACCUGAAGAAAGGCAGGGAGGAAUCUGAUGAAAGAGAAGCUGCUUUAAAGGAACUGAAGACUGUGGAACUACAGCAUAAAAAGCUGAAGGAAGAGUUGGCAUGCUAUGCAGAUAAUGAUCCAGCUGCACUUGAAGCAAUGAGUAAGAACAUCUCUCAUCUCCUCCACAUAGGAAUGUUUUCGUCUUCUUCAGUGCUGAUAUUGCAUUCACAAAAAUGGAAUUGAGGUUGCUCAUUCAGCAGCUAACAGAUGGACAGACAACAUAUUUACCCUACAGCAAUGGUGUUCAACCAACUUUCCAGAAGCCAAGGAGCAACUUGAACACUUGUACAAGGAGGUGGGAAUAACAGAUGAUUUUGAAUAUUUGCAAUGAUCAUUGAAAAAUAGUGGUGCUGAAUCCUGAUUGCCUACUUCAGUGUGCAAAAUGUACUGGUCGCUUGAAAUUUUAGGUUCUUAGCCAAAAAGAGAGAAAUAUUAAGUCGGUGCUAGUGCCAGGUGGGAUUGAUUUGUUAGUGCAACUUGUUUUCGUUUUCUUCCUGUAAAUUUGGCAGUUUCUCUUGUUUUUGUACAGAUAGCUUGGCCAUAGCCUUAGCAUGAUUUCAAUUCUCUCUUGCAAUCAUGACUCAUGCAUGCUCAUGCCUGCAUUUCAGAAUUCUGGUAAAAAAGCCUGUAACUGGCAGUUCCUAUUGGAUUCCAACCAAACAAUAUAAACAAGGCCUCUGUUCAAAGUGACAACAUGCAGACCAAUGAAACUAUCCUCUUCAUCUCUUUGAUUUUUGAAUAGCACCGUGAAAUUUGGCCAGUGAUUUUCCAUGUAUGAUAGUUUAUACUUACAAUGUGCAGUUCAAGGUCAUAAUGAGUCUUCUAUCAGG